RNAcentral lists this long non-coding RNA (1980 nucleotides) under Sarcophilus harrisii (Tasmanian devil). RNAcentral describes it as "lncRNA (ENSSHAG00000025641.1)". Lineage: Eukaryota; Metazoa; Chordata; Mammalia; Dasyuromorphia; Dasyuridae. The record is from RNAcentral.
UCCCCAUUCCAAAGAGAUCAGAGUAUCCACAUGGAGAAGAUUUCUUUUAUUUAAACCAGGAGAAUAUUAGGGUGGAGUGAUCAAAAAAGGAAGUUUAAUGAUUAAAAUGGCUAAAUUUUGGCAUGCAACACAAUACCCACUCACAUUUACUCUAAAUACCUACUGUUCUUUCUACUUCCCUAAUUCGUAAAGUUAUUCUGCUCUGUCUCUUCAAGUUACAAAGGACUUUUUUCCCAGUAAAGAGAGGUUUCUCAAGUCUUCUCUGUAGCAUUGAGAUUGCUGUUCAUGCUUCUCCAACCAUCCCACAUCUAUAGCUGGUAAUAAUAGUUUUCCUUUUUUAUUUGAAUAAUACUUCCUUGUAAGAAGAUAGCAUCAUUUGGGAGAUUCAGACCUACAGUUGCUUUAAAAAAUGAGCUUGAAUUUUCAACACUGGAGAGUCAAGCUUUGCAUAAAACUUGCCUUCUGUGUAAAGUAUUUUUCUUUUUUCUUUUCUUCUCAUUUUGGUGGUAUAGUAAAUGUACUAGUGAUUUAAAAUUGUGCCAAAUCAAACAACAAAGUCCCUGACCUGAACAAUAUGUGGUGUAAAGAGCAUGAAUGUUGCAAGACAAAUGUCAGGAACAACACAAAGUAAGCAGGAAAAAGUGCAAGUGAAAUUAUGGAGGACUAAGGAAGAUUUUUUUUUAAUUGUUUUUAACAGGACAAGAUCACAUAAGCAAACUAGGGUUCCCUAUUUCAAGAGCAUAACAAAAAUAUAUCAAUGGAAGAAUUAUUGUAAUUAGGAGAAAGAUCAAUCAAUAAACAUUUAUUAAGCACUAUGCUAAGUGCUGGGGAUACAAAAAGAGGUAAAGAUAGUCAAAUGUUUAAUGAGGGAGAAAUUAGGCCAACAAAUACAGACCUAGUAAAUUAAUGAUAAAUGAUAAACAUGAUAAAUGGCUGGGGGGGGGGAUUAAAAGAGGGAAGUCUCUAGAAUUAAGAAGGAUUAAGGGAUGCUUCCUGUAGAAGACAAAGUUUUAGUUGAACUUAGAGGAAGUCAAGGAAGGUAGCUGAAGAGAGAGAACAUUUAAGGAACAAGAAAUAGCCAGUGAAAAAUAUCCAGAGUUUAAGGGAUGGAAUGUCUUAUUGGUGGAAAAGUCAGAAGCAUAGUGUCUCUGAAUUAAAGUGUACGUGUAAGAAGAAGAAAGACAUAUGGAAAGGGGCUAGGCUAUGAAAGAUUUUAGAUGCCAAACUGAGAAUUUUGUAAUUAAUCUUGGAGGUGAUUGGGAAUGACUAGCAUUUAUUGACUAAGAAAAGUGACAAGUUCAGACCUGCACAUUAGUAAUUUUACUCUUUACAAACAGACGACUACCUGAGUGGCUGAAUAGAGUAAAGUAGAAAGAGACUUCUGGCAAAAAAAAAAAAAAAAAAAAACUCACCAACAGGCUGUUGCAAUAGACUAGAGAUGAAGUGAUAAGAUCCUGAAAAAGGAUGGUUCCAUUAUAAGAGAAAAGAAAGAAAAGCAUUUGAGAGAUAUUGCAUCAAAAGGCCAUGGUAAAAUCAAAACAACUUGGAUAUGGAAAAGAAAUUCAAAUUAAAAGAGCCUUUCACCUGGGGAACCACUUUACCUCUAUCAGAUAUGCUAAUAUGACAGAAAAGGAGAAUGAUAAAUGUUAGAAAUGUGAGAAAAUUGUUGCUGGAGUUGUGAACUGACACAAUCAUUCUGAGGGCAAUUUGGCACCAUGCCCAAAAGGCAACCAAACUCCGUUUCUGGAGUGGAAAUUUCUAUCAACUGAUUGGGGGCCACAUCCUUCGGUGUCACAUUUCCUGAGGACCCUCCCUUCCAGAAAAGUCACCAAUCAUCAACUAGCAACCUGAGAUGUGGACAGAAAGCAUCCUCCCAGGUGCAAUUGAACUGUCUAGUUGGCCUGGAAGUAUGGGAGCCAUAGGAACUGCAAUUUAAAGUUCCAUUUUGACUGGUAAAUUAAAUAAAUAAAAAUCAAAUAA